Molecule: ribosomal RNA, 413 nt
Filed under: Achromobacter spanius
Lineage: Bacteria; Pseudomonadati; Pseudomonadota; Betaproteobacteria; Burkholderiales; Alcaligenaceae
Description: bacterial SSU rRNA
Rfam family: Bacterial small subunit ribosomal RNA
Source: RNAcentral
UGGUGGCGAGUGGCGAACGGGUGAGUAAUGUAUCGGAACGUGCCUAGUAGCGGGGGAUAACUACGCGAAAGCGUAGCUAAUACCGCAUACGCCCUACGGGGGAAAGCAGGGGAUCGCAAGACCUUGCACUAUUAGAGCGGCCGAUAUCGGAUUAGCUAGUUGGUGGGGUAACGGCUCACCAAGGCGACGAUCCGUAGCUGGUUUGAGAGGACGACCAGCCACACUGGGACUGAGACACGGCCCAGACUCCUACGGGAGGCAGCAGUGGGGAAUUUUGGACAAUGGGGGAAACCCUGAUCCAGCCAUCCCGCGUGUGCGAUGAAGGCCUUCGGGUUGUAAAGCACUUUUGGCAGGAAAGAAACGUCAUGGGCUAAUACCCCGUGAAACUGACGGUACCUGCAGAAUAAGCACCG